This 465-nucleotide ribosomal RNA is filed under the name uncultured bacterium. RNAcentral describes it as "bacterial SSU rRNA". It matches the Rfam family "Bacterial small subunit ribosomal RNA", at positions 338 to 795 of the family's 1533-position model. The record is from RNAcentral.
CCUACGGGAUGCACCAGUGGGGAAUAUUGCACAAUGGGCGCAAGCCUGAUGCAGCCAUGCCGCGUGUAUGAAGAAGGCCUUUGGGUUGUAAAGUACUUUCGGCGGGGAGGAAGGUGUUGUGGUUAAUAACCACAGCAAUUGACGUUACCCGCAGAAGAAGCACCGGCUAACUCCGUGCCAGCAGCCGCGGUAAUACGGAGGGUGCAAGCGUUAAUCGGAAUUACUGGGCGUAAAGCGCACGCAGGCGGUCUGUCAAGUCGGAUGUGAAAUCUCCGGGCUCAACCUGGGAACUGCAUUCGAAGCUGGCAGGCUAGAGUCUUGUAGAGGGGGGUAGAAUUCCAGGUGUAGCGGUGAAAUGCGUAGAGAUCUGGAGGAAUACCGGUGGCGAAGGCGGCCCCCUGGACAAAGACUGGCGCUCAGGUGCGAAAGCGUGGGGAGCAAACAGGAUUAGAUACCCUCGUAGUC